AACGUGUUUCACUAUUGAUCUAAAUGUUGUGUAUUUGAUUCUUGUUGGUUGCAAAAUUAAAUUUUCUUUUCAAAAGAAACACAUAGGUGCAAAAUUAAAUUUUCUUUUCAAAAGAAACACAUAGGCACCAGUUGUAUUGGCGCCUCCUCUUGGAGGGUCAUGCAGGCGCCUUUUCAUGAGGCCCAAUGCAUGUGCGCCACGCCUCCUCUUAUUUUUUUGGGGUGCCAACUCCCUCGGCGCAUCCUCCCCCAAACAUGGUUAUUUUGAAAAAAAAAUUGAAAAGUCGGUUAUUUUCGUAUUUUUUUUGAAAAAAAUGGUUAUUUUAAAAAAAAAUAUGGAAAAAGGGGGUCGUCCCUUUACAUCCCUCUCUCCCAAUUCAUUAAUCUUCCUCUGUGCUUAUGAAACAGAGAAAAAAAAAGUCCACUCCAAUUUAUAAUAAAUUCAUGCUCUCAAACAAAUAUCAAACCAGAACAAUACACAAUCAAUCAUAACAACAAUUAGAUUCAAUAGAAAGGAAAAGUGAAUCUUACAAAAAUAUGACGAAUUCGAAAGAAACUGCGGUGACUGCGGGAGGAGAGCGACGGUUGAGGGGAGGUGUGGUCGUAUUCGUCUUCAACGGCGAUGUUGUUGAGGUUGAGUGUGAUGUUCGUCGGAAGGUCGUUGACGACCGGAUCUGGCAUCGUCGGUAGAGCGACUGGAAGUUCGACGACACGCGUCGUGAUUUGGAAGCAGCUUUUGGCAGUGUUGUGUUCGUGGGUGUAUCGAUCUCCUCUUCCUUCUAUUUUUUUUUUUUUUUGAAUCCAAGUGUUUACGAAAUUGAAUUAUAUUCUUUUGAUUUAUGUUUUGGAAUUGUGAAUGAAUGUUAGUGAAGGUAUGGAAAGUUUUAUGAAGAUGAUGUUAACGUUGAACGAAAAUUGGUUUCUAGAGGUAAUUGAUUUUCUUGAAAAGUUGUUUAUUGGUGUUGAGAUAAUGGCAUUUAUAGAAGAAUAACAAAACUAGGAUUUGACUUUUGACUCAAAGAUAGAAAAAAGGUUCUGUGUAGAUUGCAGUAUGUGAAGUUUUUACUUGUGUGAGAGGAAUAGAUAUGUGUAGUGAUAUGUGUAAGAAUUGGUGGAAUUGUGUUAUGCUUGUAGUGAGAGUAUUGUGGUUUGAGAGGAGAAUUUUGCUUCUGCAAAAUACGGAAGAGUUAUCUUCUUUAGACUGGUUUUUUUUUAUUUGGUUUAUAUCGUGUACUUUAGUGUCCCCUAUUCACUGAUGUAGAGUUUUUUUUAAUAUAAUGGGACAAUCUUCCAUGCUAAUUUAUUUCUUUGAUUUCUCCCACUCUUAAUAUUAGAAAUUAUUUCAAUGUUGA
RNAcentral lists this long non-coding RNA (1351 nucleotides) under Lathyrus oleraceus (garden pea). RNAcentral's name for it is "Pisum sativum (pea) long non-coding RNA (PSAT_LNC032709)". The record is from RNAcentral. Lineage: Eukaryota; Viridiplantae; Streptophyta; Magnoliopsida; Fabales; Fabaceae.